CAGCAGCCGCGGUAAUACAGAGGGUGCGAGCGUUAAUCGGAUUUACUGGGCGUAAAGCGUGCGUAGGCGGCUUCUUAAGUCGGAUGUGAAAUCCCUGAGCUUAACUUAGGAAUUGCAUUCGAUACUGGGAAGCUAGAGUAUGGGAGAGGAUGGUAGAAUUCCAGGUGUAGCGGUGAAAUGCGUAGAGAUCUGGAGGAAUACCGAUGGCGAAGGCAGCCAUCUGGCCUAAUACUGACGCUGAGGUACGAAAGCAUGGGGAGCAAACAGGAUUAGAACCCGCGUAGUCCCUGUCUCUUAUACA
This 301-nucleotide ribosomal RNA is filed under the name uncultured bacterium. RNAcentral's name for it is "partial 16S ribosomal RNA". It matches the Rfam family "Bacterial small subunit ribosomal RNA", at positions 509 to 808 of the family's 1533-position model. The record is from RNAcentral.